UACGGAGGGUGCGAGCGUUGUUCGGAAUCACUGGGCGUAAAGCGCGUGUAGGCGGCUUCUUAAGUCCGAUGUGAAAGCCCGGGGCUCACCCCCGGAAGUGCAUUGGAUACUGGGAAGCUGGAGUACCGGAGAGGAGGGUGGAAUUCCUGGUGUAGCGGUGAAAUGCGUAGAUAUCAGGAGGAACACCUGUGGCGAAGGCGGCCCUCUGGACGGAUACUGACGCUGAGACGCGAAAGCGUGGGGAGCAAACAGG
This 253-nucleotide ribosomal RNA is filed under the name uncultured bacterium. RNAcentral describes it as "partial 16S ribosomal RNA". It matches the Rfam family "Bacterial small subunit ribosomal RNA", at positions 524 to 776 of the family's 1533-position model. The record is from RNAcentral.